CGCAGCCGCGGUAAUUCCAGCUCCAAUAGCGUAUAUUAAAGUUGUUGCAGUUAAAAAGCUCGUAGUUGAAUUUCGGGAUCAGCAUGUCGGUCGUGCCUCUGGUACGUACUGGUAUCGUUGAUUUCUACCUUCUGACGAACCACGAUGUCAUUAAUUUGGUGUCAUGGGGAAUCAGGACUGUUACUUUGAAAAAAUUAGAGUGUUUAAAGCAGGCACACGCUUGAAUACAUUAGCAUGGAAUAAUGAAAUAGGACGUUUGAUCCUAUUUUGUUGGUUUCUAGGAUCGACGUAAUGAUUAAUAGGGAUAGUUGGGGGCAUUAGUAUUCAAUUGUCAGAGGUGAAAAUUCUUGGAUUUAUUGAAGACUAACUACUGCGAAAGCAUUUGCCAAGGAUGUUUUCAUUAAUCUAAGAACGAAAGUUAGGGAUCGAAGACGAUCAGAUACCGUCGUAGUCUUAACCAUAAACUAUAGACCGACUAGGGAUCGGAUGAUGUUAAUUUUUAUGUACUCAUUCGGCUCCU
Molecule: ribosomal RNA, 520 nt
Filed under: uncultured Glomus
Lineage: Eukaryota; Fungi; Glomeromycota; Glomeromycetes; Glomerales; Glomeraceae
Description: SSU rRNA
Rfam family: Eukaryotic small subunit ribosomal RNA
Source: RNAcentral